This 376-nucleotide unclassified non-coding RNA is filed under the name uncultured bacterium. RNAcentral's name for it is "contains 16S-23S intergenic spacer region". The record is from RNAcentral.
UCCGUUUUGUCAACGGCAGUCUCAACAGAGUUCCCAGCAUAACCUGAUGGCAACUAGUAGCGAGGGUUGCGCUCGUUGCGGGACUUAACCCAACAUCUCACGACACGAGCUGACGACAGCCAUGCAGCACCUGUGACGGUGCCCAAAGGGAGGAUGUGUUUCCACACCUGUCACCGACAUGUCAAGCCCAGGUAAGGUUCUUCGCGUUGCGUCGAAUUAAACCACAUGCUCCGCUGCUUGUGCGGGCCCCCGUCAAUUCCUUUGAGUUUCAGCCUUGCGGCCGUACUCCCCAGGCGGGGCACUUAAUGCGUUAGCGCCGGCACCCAGGGGGUCGCUCCCCCAGGCACCUAGUGCCCAUCGUUUACGGCGUGGACUA